Molecule: ribosomal RNA, 493 nt
Filed under: uncultured bacterium
Lineage: Bacteria
Description: SSU rRNA
Rfam family: Bacterial small subunit ribosomal RNA
Source: RNAcentral
AGGACGAACGCUGGCGGCGUGCUUAACACAUGUAAGUCGAGCGGAAAGGCCCUUCGGGGUACUCGAGCGGCGAACGGGUGAGUAACACGUGAGUAAUCUGCCCUUAGCUCUGGGAUAGCUCCGGGAAACCGGGAUUAAUACCAGAUACGACCACUCUAGACAUCUUCUGUGGUGGAAAGAAUUUCGGCUGGGGAUGAACUCGCGGCCUAUCAGCUUGUUGGUGAGGUAACGGCUCACCAAGGCAACGAUGGGUAGCUGGUCUGAGAGGACGAUCAGCCACACUGGGACUGAGACACGGCCCAGACUCCUACGGGAGGCAGCAGUGGGGAAUCUUGCGCAAUGCGCGAAAGCGUGACGCAGCAACGCCGCGUGGGGAAGACGGCCUCGGGUUGUAACCCUUUCAGUUGGACGAAGCUCCGCCGGUGAAUAGCCGGCUGGAGUGACGGUACCUUCAGAAGAAGCCCGGCUAACUACGUGCCAGCAGCCGCGGUAA